UUGCUAUCAGAACAUUGUGUCAU
This 23-nucleotide microRNA is filed under the name Bombyx mori (domestic silkworm). RNAcentral describes it as "bmo-miR-3246". Lineage: Eukaryota; Metazoa; Arthropoda; Insecta; Lepidoptera; Bombycidae. The record is from miRBase by way of RNAcentral.